Molecule: long non-coding RNA, 3252 nt
Filed under: Homo sapiens (human)
Lineage: Eukaryota; Metazoa; Chordata; Mammalia; Primates; Hominidae
Description: HSALNT0254827
Source: RNAcentral
UAGGAUCUUGCUAUGUUGCCCUGGCUGGGAUGCAGCGGCUAUUCACAGGUGCAAUCAUAGUGCACUACAGCCUCAAACUCCUAGCCUCAAGCAAUCCUCAUGCCUCAGCCUCCAGAGUAGCUGGGCCUACAGGUACUUAACACCUCAUCUGGCAUCCCCCAGUCAGAUAUUUGGAUGAGACCCCUGCCUUGGCUAACACCUUGAUGAAAACCUGUGGAAGGUUCUAAGGCAGGAGCAAUAGCAAAAAUUGGGAAUGGGAAGAAACAGGUACCAGCCAGGACACCUGAACGAACUUGGAGCUCAGGAACCCAGGAGGGGAUUGGAGAGAGUGGGGAGACUCCAUGGUCCACAAUGAAUGCUCCUUCCCCAUCCGAAAAAAUCCCCUAGCCCAGUUUUUGGGCAGAUGCCAGACUUUUAUUCUGAAGCGUGGGCCACAACCUAUGAGGUAAUCUUUGGAGCUUCAUUCUGAGGCGGAAUCCCAUUGGCCAGUUGGGGAAGCCCCUCCCAGGAUUCCUGGCGCUCCGCCUUCCCUGAAGCCUAUAAAAGCGCAGGUCCCCGCCUCGGCAGCCACGGGACACCUGCAUCUGCCAACAAGACUGGAAGCAGAAAGGGACAGAGACGGCGAAGUUUGACGGUCUGGAAAGCAGAGACCAGCAGGGCUGACUGCUUGGGAGCACCAAAUAUCCGGACAGCGCCUCUCGGGAGGUCCGAGAAGAGAACCGCGAUCUGUUUCAGCACCGGGGCUCAGGACAGUUCCCAGCGGGCUCCGUUUCGUCUCCAGAACCCUGGACAGCUCCUCCAGCUUGGAAUGCACUCCCUCCACCUCCAACCAGAGCUCCCCACAACUGACCCUGCCUUCUUCUGCAAGCUCCAUUUCAUCAAGGGAAACGAUCCUUAUUGCCUCACCAUUUCCCACGUGAAGUCUGUAUUGACAUUCUCAUAGACCUGGGAUAUUGUGUCUGCAGCACAUAGUCCAAUUAUUUUCAUGUUAUCUACUGACAGGUCUAUUUGUCUCCCUGUUACACUGUGAGCUCCGUGAGGGCAGAAACAAUGUUAGUAUUUUCACUGCUGUGUCCCCAGCGCCUGGUCCGGGGCCCGGCACACAGCAGGCAUAUAAUAAGCAUGUGUUGAAUCAAUAAAGGCAUCAAAGAAUAAACCAAUACAUCAAUCAAUAAAUGAAUGAAUGGCCUCAGCACACACAGGAAGAUCCUUCUUCUAGGUCUCCCCCAGAGAGAUACUGGAGGGCAAUGGUUGCUGGAGGUGUUUAUUGGGGAAGCAUAAUUGAAUUUGUGGACACUUAAGGGCCGGCCAGCCAACUCACAGCCCCAAGAGAGAGAGCCAGGCUCAUUUAAUUAGCAAUUACAAGGCACUGAUUCCUCAUUAGCUCUGGCAACCCUCGUCUCCCUCCUCAGCCCCAGACAAAUGAAAUCUUUCUCUCUCUCCCAGGAGUACUGCCUCAGUGGGUCCAUUAACAAGCAGAGAAAAUGAGAUUAGAAGACACCUAAAUGCCAGAGGCACUUUAUGAAUGGGCUGAGCAGAGGGAGGUUCAAUGUCUGGGUUAGGUCUAAUUGUGGGAGGUUUCCUGGUCUAUUUAGAAUUGCCCCCUGGGAAUGCAAGGUCUUUCAGAAAGGAAAAGGCACACAGAUAUUGCCUUCUGGGGUCCUCAAUGGAGGAGGACAUUCUGCUAUGGGUGUCUCCCAGUCACCCCAAAUUAAUCAUUUCAAAGUGAACACUCAAUCUGCCCAGCCCCUAGCUUCCUCCCCUGACAUGCCCAUGAAUAUGACAGUCCCUCUACAUGCCCAAGAUCCUCCCCUCCUCAUCCACUCCCCAUGAUCCCCAAGAUGAGUCACUGUGCUCAAAUCCAUCCUCUCUCCUCCAGCCCUCUGCCUCCAUGACCUCCCUCCAGCCCUCUGCCUCCAUGACCUCCGCCUCCCUGCAUGUCCGGAUCUCCUCACUGUCUCCCCUCUGAGCAUACACACACAUACAGCCUGUUCAUUCUCUACAUGCAGCGAGGGGACUUUCCAGAACACACAUCUGACCAAGUUCCACUCCUGCCUGUCACCCUUCCAAGAGCCCCACUGACUGCAGAAUAACGUUCAAAUAUCCGGUUGGGCGUGGUGGCUCAUGCCUGCAGUCCCAGCACUUUGGGAGGCCAAGGUGGGUGGAUCACUUGCACAGGACCACAGGCGUGUGCCACCACACCCAGCUAAUUUUUAUAUUUUUGGUAGAGACGGAGUUUCACCAUGUUGGCCAGGCUGACCUCAAGUGAUCCACCCGCCUCAACCUCCCAAAGUGCUGGGAUUACAGGCAUGAGUCACUGCACCGGUCUAAUUUUUUCAGAGUCUCACUCUUGCCCAGGCUGGAGUGCAGUAGCAUGAUCUCGGUUCACUGCAACCUCUGCCUCCUGGUUUCAAGCGAUUCUCUUGGCUCAGCCUCCUGAGCAGCUGGGAUUACAGGCACGUGCCACCACACUUAGCUAAUUUUUGUAUUUUUAGUAGAGAUGGGGGUCUCACCAUGCUGGCACAGUUGGUCUUGAACUCCUGACCUCAAGUGAUCCACCCACCUCGGCUUCCCAAAGUGCUGGGAUUACAGACGUGAGCCACCGCGCCCGGCCAGCCUUUAUUGAUUCUUUUUAAAGCCACACUAACCUUUUAUUUUCCCCCAAAGACCCCUGGGAGCCCUCAGUUUUUCCUGGCAGUUUCAUCUUUGUACCCCUGACCUCCCCACACACACGCCUAGCUCAGUGCUGGCAUCCAAUAUUCACUUUGGGUAUAAAUGCUUGUGCCUGAGCCUAUCACCUUCAUCACACAGAAAAUCCUGGAGGCCACACACCCCUGUAAAGACGAGCCAUUACCCACAGAGGUCCAACCAACUUACCACCCUCUCCCAGCCACCCCCAAGGACCCAGCUUGCAGCUGCCUGCUCAAUGGCUUUAGAAACUAAAAAAGGUGAAUGAGUUUCCAUCACUGCCCUCCUGGGCUUUGCCGUUAUGGCUGGUUAACUUGACAGAAGAACACAUUAUACUUCAUUUUUUGCUGUUGUCUUGUUGGAAAAAAAAGUGACAGCUGGGUGCAGUGGUGCACACUGUAGUCACAGCUACUCAGGAGAAUUGCUUGAGCACAGGAAUUGGAGGCUACACUGAGCAAUGAUCGCCUCACUGCACUCCAGCCUGAACGACAGAGCAAGACCCUCUUAAAAAAUACGUGAGAGAGGGUGCGUAUGAUGGCUCAUGCCUGUAAUCCCAGCAGUUUG